Pelobates fuscus (common spadefoot toad) is the source of this 1742-nucleotide long non-coding RNA. RefSeq lists it as uncharacterized. The transcript is spliced from 2 exons. Lineage: Eukaryota; Metazoa; Chordata; Amphibia; Anura; Pelobatidae. The record is from RefSeq and is a predicted model, not a curated record.
AAAAUAUUUUUGUUUAGUGAUUGCUCCAAUUUUUUUUCUUUUUUUAAUACAUUGUACUUUUCCUUUAUUUUGGAGGCACGUGGUUAUUUUGUUAGUUUUUUUGAGGACCUAACUUUUUACAAGUUGCCUAAAAUGAUCCACGCACAAACACUCAAACACUGUCUCAAAAGAACAAAACAAAAUGAGCCUUAGGUAUACAGCCGCUCCUCUUAGCCUUAGGUAAAUGUAUGUAUACAUUUGUCUGCCUGAUCGAAUGAUUCAUAAUAAUACUCAGAAAUGGCUUUCACUAGGUUAUUCACGAAGUGUCAAUUAAUGGGAGUUCAAAGUGAAUUUCAAACGUUAGGAUAAAGAAGCCAUACUCAAAACCUAGCUGACUUUUUAUUUUUUCCUGAUACCUUACUUAGUGAAUAACUUUGCCAGGGUCCCUAAGUUAAACUCUACCCCCCGCACUGAUCUUUAAGCUCUCUCAUAACACUGGUUAGAUCCUCCAAUGACUUGCUGUAUAAUAACCUGCACAUCGACGGAGGGUCAUUUAUUAUUUAAAUUAAAACCUCAAUAUUGCUGGAACAAAGAACAUUUCCAAAAUCGUAUUGAAAGUGCAAUAUUUUGAUCUCUUGCUGUACAUAUGGUUCUAUUCAAAGUAUUGUUUAACUUGUAUGAGUUUUUUGUGCUUCUCAUUAUCCCGAAGAUUCUGUUAAAUCUUAAAGUUGUUUUUUUUUCCAAGAUUGAGAAUUACUAGUACUGCUAAGAAAUCAUUUUACCCCAUUCAGUACCACGGUUAAGAAAAUCUUUUUAUAACUGACAUGUCUGAGCUCCUGAAGGAGUUAAAGGGGAAAGGGGUACCCUUCUUCUUACUAGAUAUACCCCGAGAAACUGGACGAUGCCCUCAGAAUCUGUGUAAACUUUAAUAAUGUCGUACUGUUGAAUUUUGAUCAGAAGUCGCUGCUCCAAAAGAGGGCAGAAUUGUUUGCCAAUGUUUGGAUAUGUUUUGUGUGAUUUCUCUUCUUGCCAUAAUGAAUCUGAAUUAUUUGCACAUAUUCAACUAUGACUGCAGAUAUGUUUCCUGUUUACAGUUUAACCUCUUAGAAACCAGAAAGUUCUUCAAAAAAUGGUUUAGCUGCUUUAAAUUUUUUUUAUCUUAUUAUGAUCUCUCAGUGCCACAGCAGUGUUUGGCAGUGUGUUACCAACUCAUGUUUCAAGGGUUAAUCAGAUAAGUACUAACCUUUAAUGGCUCUAAGAAUUCUGGGGAUUGUAGCCUACAACAGUCUAACAGGCAUAUAGCAAACCUUUGGCAUUGUUAUUUCUGUCUCCCCUAACUCUAAGCCAGCCCAUUGGCAGUCUGCAACGCUGGCUGGUUUAGACUUUUUUCCCCCCAAGAUUCUCAAACGUUGGCUAUCCCUGUGGUAAACUGUUUGAAUGUACUGUAAGCAGGUUAUAGUAGCUCAGCCUGGUAUGCAAGAGGUUAAACACUUCAUUCUUUAUUUUCCUGCAAAGACUACGGUUAGUUACUAAAAUGGAACUGGUGAUUAUAGUGAUUUUUAUUCUACAUUUAAUAUUCAUAUACAUAGUGGGUGAAUGUUGUCAUUAAACGUGGCUGGGAUGUUUCACAAUUUAAAUGGGCAUUACUUUUUCUGUUUGUUUUUGAAUCAGUAACAGAUUAUUUUUUUUAAUUAUAAAUUCACAUCAUCAUUUACAGCUUAGUGAUUAUUGAAAAUUUUCCUAAUAAAAACACUAGUGCUUUA